UUGAAAAUGACAUCAUUCCUGCCGCCCCAGAUGACCCAAAUUAUUACACACCACACCAUUUUCCACACCAAACCAUUACUAAGAGAAGAGGCAAUAUCGAUCCAAGAAAGAAAACAAAUCAAAGGGUCAUAAUGAACCACCUACUGAAUAUACUACAAACAGCACCAUUGCUACCACAACAACCAUGAUUUAAAACAGUUAAAAAAAAGGUGAUUCACAAGUACAAGGCUACUACGACAUAGCAAGCACAUGGCAGACUUCGGGGAGAUAAAACCCUUACUUGCCAACACCUCUUUGACAGCCAAUCUAUCUCUUAGAAUCUGCCAGCAAAGGAUCUCGAUCUUGAGAGGGGAAAGACCCGACCAAACAAGCUUCCAAUGGCUGGUUGAAGAAAUGCUGAAAAAGACUUACCAUCUGAAAGAAUGAGAGAAGUAGUUACUGCUUGGAUGCCCUUUCCAUGUCAGUUUUUCUUGGAAAUCCUUGCUAAUAAAACAAUCAUGAAUAAGUUGUUGAAAGCUAUCCCAUUGUUCCUUUUCCCAGUUGAAGACAUCUCGGUGAAACUCAAUAUUCCAGGACCAAUCGUCACUAGUCCAGCUGUCAAAAUCGCUAACAUAGCCUAACUUUUUCACCACUAGUGCAUAAAUCCUAGGGAAGACACUCCUUAGAGUAAAACCACCAACCUAGACAUCAUCCCAAAAGCGAAUCCGAUUACCACAACCCAAAAAGAGUCUCAUACC
RNAcentral lists this long non-coding RNA (737 nucleotides) under Theobroma cacao (cacao). RNAcentral's name for it is "long non-coding RNA (TCAC_LNC000601)". The record is from RNAcentral. Lineage: Eukaryota; Viridiplantae; Streptophyta; Magnoliopsida; Malvales; Malvaceae.